Molecule: ribosomal RNA, 792 nt
Filed under: uncultured bacterium
Lineage: Bacteria
Description: bacterial SSU rRNA
Rfam family: Bacterial small subunit ribosomal RNA
Source: RNAcentral
UCGAACGCGAAAGGCCCCUUCGGGGGCCGAGUAGAGUGGCGCACGGGUGAGUAACACGUAGGUAAUUUGCCUUCGGGUGGGGAAUAACAGCCGGAAACGGCUGCUAAUACCGCAUAAUGCAGCGGCUCGACAUCGAGACAGUUGUUAAAGCGGGGGAUCGCAAGACCUCGCGCCUGAAGAGAAGCCUGCGGCGGAUUAGCUUGUUGGUAGGGUAAUGGCCUACCAAGGCGACGAUCCGUAACCGGCCUGAGAGGGCGGUCGGUCACACUGACACUGACAUACGGGUCAGACUCCUACGGGAGGCAGCAGUCGGGAAUUUUGGGCAAUGGGCGAAAGCCUGACCCAGCAACGCCGCGUGAAGGAUGAAAUCCCUCGGGAUGUAAACUUCGCAAGAAUGGGAAGAAUAAGUAGAAGAUAACACCUUCUAUGAUGACGGUACCAUUUGUAAGCUCCGGCUAACUCCGUGCCAGCAGCCGCGGUAAUACGGGGGGAGCAAGCGUUGUUCGGAUUUACUGGGCGUAAAGGGCGCGUAGGCGGCCACGACAAGUCACUUGUGAAAUCUCCGGGCUUAACUCGGAACGGUCAAGUGAUGCUGUCGGGCUAGAGUGCAGAAGGGGCAACUGGAAUUCUCGGUGUAGCGGUGAAAUGCGUAGAUAUCGAGAGGAACACCUGCGGCGAAGGCGGGUUGCUGGGCUGACACUGACGCUGAGGCGCGAAAGCCAGGGGAGCGAACGGGAUUAGAUACCCCGGUAGUCCUGGCCUUUAACGAUGAAUGCUUGGUGUCUCGGGUUA